AGAGUUUGAUCAUGGCUCAGAGCGAACGCUGGCGGCAGGCCUAACACAUGCAAGUCGAACGGAUCCUUCGGGAUUAGUGGCGGACGGGUGAGUAACACGUGGGAACGUGCCUUUUGGUUCGGAACAACUCAGGGAAACUUGAGCUAAUACCGGAUAAGCCCUUCGGGGGAAAGAUUUAUCGCCAUUAGAGCGGCCCGCGUCUGAUUAGCUAGUUGGUGAGGUAAAGGCUCACCAAGGCUACGAUCAGUAGCUGGUCUGAGAGGAUGAUCAGCCACAUUGGGACUGAGACACGGCCCAAACUCCUACGGGAGGCAGCAGUGGGGAAUCUUGCGCAAUGGGCGAAAGCCUGACGCAGCCAUGCCGCGUGAAUGAUGAAGGUCUUAGGAUUGUAAAAUUCUUUCACCGGGGACGAUAAUGACGGUACCCGGAGAAGAAGCCCCGGCUAACUUCGUGCCAGCAGCCGCGGUAAUACGAAGGGGGCUAGCGUUGCUCGGAAUUACUGGGCGUAAAGGGAGCGUAGGCGGACUGUUAAGUUAGAGGUGAAAGCCCAGGGCUCAACCUUGGAAUUGCCUUUGAUACUGGCAGUCUUGAGUACGGAAGAGGUAUGUGGAACUCCGAGUGUAGAGGUGAAAUUCGUAGAUAUUCGGAAGAACACCAGUGGCGAAGGCGACAUACUGGUCCGUUACUGACGCUGAGGCUCGAAAGCGUGGGGAGCAAACAGGAUUAGAUACCCCCGUAGUCC
This 742-nucleotide ribosomal RNA is filed under the name uncultured bacterium. RNAcentral describes it as "bacterial SSU rRNA". It matches the Rfam family "Bacterial small subunit ribosomal RNA", at positions 8 to 796 of the family's 1533-position model. The record is from RNAcentral.